GCUCUUUGGGUGGCGAGUGGCGGACGGGUGAGUAAUGUCUGGGAAACUGCCCGAUGGAGGGGGAUAACUACUGGAAACGGUAGCUAAUACCGCAUAACGUCGCAAGACCAAAGUGGGGGACCUUCGGGCCUCACACCAUCGGAUGUGCCCAGAUGGGAUUAGCUAGUAGGUGGGGUAAUGGCUCACCUAGGCGACGAUCCCUAGCUGGUCUGAGAGGAUGACCAGCCACACUGGAACUGAGACACGGUCCAGACUCCUACGGGAGGCAGCAGUGGGGAAUAUUGCACAAUGGGCGCAAGCCUGAUGCAGCCAUGCCGCGUGUAUGAAGAAGGCCUUCGGGUUGUAAAGUACUUUCAGCGGGGAGGAAGGCGGUGAGGUUAAUAACCUCGCCGAUUGACGUUACCCGCAGAAGAAGCACCGGCUAACUCCGUGCCAGCAGCCGCGGUAAUACGGAGGGUGCAAGCGUUAAUCGGAAUUACUGGGCGUAAAGCGCACGCAGGCGGUCUGUUAAGUCAGAUGUGAAAUCCCCGGGCUUAACCUGGGAACUGCAUUUGAAACUGGCAGGCUUGAGUCUCGUAGAGGGGGGUAGAAUUCCAGGUGUAGCGGUGAAAUGCGUAGAGAUCUGGAGGAAUACCGGUGGCGAAGGCGGCCCCCUGGACGAAGACUGACGCUCAGGUGCGAAAGCGUGGGGAGCAAACAG
RNAcentral lists this ribosomal RNA (700 nucleotides) under Pantoea sp. MD19. RNAcentral's name for it is "bacterial SSU rRNA". It matches the Rfam family "Bacterial small subunit ribosomal RNA", at positions 79 to 775 of the family's 1533-position model. Lineage: Bacteria; Pseudomonadati; Pseudomonadota; Gammaproteobacteria; Enterobacterales; Erwiniaceae. The record is from RNAcentral.